AACCUCCAGUAGUCAUAUGCUUGUCUCAAAGAUUAAGCCAUGCAAGUCUUGGUAUAAGCUUUUAUACGGUGAAACUGCGAAUGGCUCAUUAAAUCAGUUACAGUUUAUUUGAUGGUGGAAGCUACAUGGACAACCGUGGUAAUUCUAUGGCUAAGACAUGGGAAAGGGCCCGACUCUUGGAGGGCUGUGUUUAUUAGAUACAAAGCUGACAUUGUUGGUGAGUCAUGAUAAAAGCGUACGGACCGCACGGUCGCAAGACGGGCGGUGGAUCAUUCAAGUUUCUGCCCUAUCAACUUUCGACGGUUGUGUAUUGGACAACCGUGGUGACCACGGGUAACGGGGAAUCAGGGUUCUAUUCCGGAGAGGGGGCCUGAGAGAUGGCCACCACUUCCAAGGAAGGCAGCAGGCGCGCAAAUUACCCAAUCCUGACGCAGGGAGGUAGUGACAAAACAUACUAAUGCGGGGCCUUUGGCCCGGCAAUGGAAUGAA
RNAcentral lists this ribosomal RNA (489 nucleotides) under eukaryotic picoplankton environmental sample. RNAcentral describes it as "bacterial SSU rRNA". It matches the Rfam family "Eukaryotic small subunit ribosomal RNA", at positions 1 to 518 of the family's 1831-position model. The record is from RNAcentral.